Molecule: long non-coding RNA, 562 nt
Organism: Zea mays
Lineage: Eukaryota; Viridiplantae; Streptophyta; Magnoliopsida; Poales; Poaceae
Exons: 4
Source: RefSeq, a predicted model, not a curated record
AGGAAGCCAUCGCCAGGAAGUCGUCACUGCAGCAGUUUGCCUGUGGUGCCCGCGACGGAGGGGAGGGCGAGCUCUCCUUCGCGCUGACGAAGCCAAUGGAGAUCGUGGAGGCACUGCACAGCCACGACAUCGCACCCGUCUCUAGUCUCUGCGCCAAGUACAUUGUCAACCUACUACCCGGCUCCGUCGCCAAGGUCCUCGCCCUCUUCCUCUCAAACGUCGUCAGCGUUUGGUUGAAGCUAAGUUGCAAGUGGUGCAGCUAGAUGCAAAUCUGCUAAGUAUAAGGCGAGCUCUGUUGGAGCAAGGAAUAGAAGCAGUACUCAGGGAGCUUUGUAUAUGCACUAGAGGACGGAGCCAGUGAUCAUCGACCCUGUACUAUACAACCUAUUAAAGUUUGACGUGUUCUGGAUAAUAGAGAAAAGUAGUGUCCUUUCAGGCUCUUCACUUGUAACUAUCAGCCACAUUAGGCGCUACUUCAUGAUUAUUGUUUUUCAGUAUGGUUAUUGUUUUUUCAAUUUGUUGUUUUGGGUUUUUUUGGGUGGGAGACAAGUGGAUUCAUGUC